RNAcentral lists this long non-coding RNA (1172 nucleotides) under Pan troglodytes (chimpanzee). RNAcentral's name for it is "long non-coding RNA NONPTRT001491". Lineage: Eukaryota; Metazoa; Chordata; Mammalia; Primates; Hominidae. The record is from RNAcentral.
AAGGCACCACGGCCUCUGGCUCCAUUCCACCCUCCCCGCGCUCUCCUUAAACCUCAGGCUUCUUUUUUCUGCCUGCUGCAGGGCUUCUCAGCCUGGGCUGGAUCCUGGACAGACAGGCCCAGGCAGGCUGUGCACUGUGACCUGGGGCCUUGCUGUGAACAAAGAGGACUUCAAGAGGAGAUGGCCUGGAGGAGUUCGCCUCUGUGGUCAUUUUGCUUCAGCGGACCAGUCAGCAAAUAAUGACUGCCCUUGGUCAUCACUGGGAAGAUAAAGGAUUAUUAAAAGAGGGCCCGGCUGCUUGCAGAUUACACCUGCUACAUUUGGAGUGGAAAGAGGCUUCUCUGUCAGUGCCCCUUGCCCCCAUGGAAAGACACUAAUAGCAAUCUUCAACCAUAAUUGUUUGGUCCAUUUUGUUCUGGACCAAGUUUGCAUAAGUUUUAAGCCUGAAAGUCAAAGAAAAACGAAAUCUUACACGUAAACAUGGCCUUUCCAUCACUUGAAAAAGGCACCCUCUCUCUCUCUUUCUCUCUGCCUCGUAAACACAGCGGUCUUGCUCAGAGCAAUCUUGAGCUCUGAGCUGUGAAGAAUUGCUGUAGGUAGGAAGAAACGUUGGCUCUGGAAUUCAAUUAACUGUCAGCAUUGCUGUUCGAGUCAGGAUGACUCACUCCUCUUCAGCAAAUGGGCAUGGGGGCUGUGAGCCUCCAAGAUUAAUGGUGAUUGAUAAGCCGCUGGAGCUCCAGGACGAAGCCUCCCAGAAUCCUUCCCUCACCCACACACGUUUUUACAUGAAAAUAUAAUAAAGAGAUAGUGGGAGAGGAUGUGUGAGUACAGAGGAGAUGCUGUCAAGAAUUUGCCUGUAUCCUUUUCUUUUAUAUUGGACAACAGAGGUUGCAUUUAUACUUUCUACCUGGCACAGAGCAGGUGUUCAGUACUAUUUGUCGGGUGAAGAUGGCAGGAAUAGAAAAAUGACAGUUCCAAAUCUGAGACUGCCUUGGGUGAAUCAGGAUGCCUCUAACAAGUUCACGGUGCGGCGCUGCUCUGAGGAUGCAAACGGCACUGGAGAGGAGAUGGGCGCUUUGCAGCCUCUGGGCCCCUGGUGAAGGAGAGAACCGUGGGCGAGGAGGGCCAGCAGUUUCCAGGAGGCAUUCGGAAUAGGGUGGGAGGGAAGAGAA